RNAcentral lists this ribosomal RNA (497 nucleotides) under uncultured bacterium. RNAcentral's name for it is "partial 16S ribosomal RNA". It matches the Rfam family "Bacterial small subunit ribosomal RNA", at positions 28 to 507 of the family's 1533-position model. The record is from RNAcentral.
GAUGAACGCUGGCGGCGUGCCUAAUACAUGCAAGUCGAGCGAACAGACGAGGAGCUUGCUCGUCUGACGUUAGCGGCGGACGGGUGAGUCACACGUGUAUAACCUACCUAUAAGACUGGGAUAAUCUCGGGAAACCGGAGCUUAUACCGGAGAAUAUAUUGAACCGCAUGGGUCAUUAGUGAGAUACGGUGUUGCUGUCAGUUAUAGCUGCAUCCGCGCCGCAUUAGCUAGUUGUUACGGUAACGGCUUACCAAGGCUACGAUGCGUAGCCGACCGCAGAGGGGGAUCGGCGACAUUGGAGGUGAGACGGGGACCAUAGUCCUGAGGGAGGCAGCAGUAGGGAAUGUUCCGCAAUGGGCGAGAGCCUGACGGAGCAAGGGGGAGUGAGAGAUGACGGCGUUGGGUGCGGGAAGCCGGGUUACUAGGUGUGAACCACUGUGUCAGGAACUAUGCCGGGCGUGACGGUAAUUGGUAAAAAAGCACCGGCUAACUACGUG